Molecule: long non-coding RNA, 226 nt
Organism: Phasianus colchicus (ring-necked pheasant)
Lineage: Eukaryota; Metazoa; Chordata; Aves; Galliformes; Phasianidae
Source: RefSeq, a predicted model, not a curated record
AUGACCCACCACUACUGAAGAUCAAUGGCUAAACUAUGAACCACGCUGGAUCCAUGGUGGUGUCCCAUCUGGCUUCCUCCCAUCAGUGACACAACGGAGAGGAGACUGCACAUGACUGGUUGCCCUGCUGUAUCGUUUCUGAAGGCAAAGUCAAGGCUUCCAUUUGCUUCUUCUGAAGUAUAUUGAGUGAUACCAUGAAAUAAAGAUGAAUGAAUAAAUAAAUAAA